CGCAACUUGCGCCCCUUGGUAUUCCGAGGGGCACGCCUGUUUGAGUGUCGUGAAUUCCUCCACUACUUCACUUUUCUGUGGACGUAGCUGGGACUUGGGGGCUUUGCGGGCGUCUGUUCCGCUCCCCUUGAAUGCAUUAGUGAGGUUUCGAUGUGGACCUUGGUGUGAUAAUUAUCUACGCCACGGCUCGCUCGUAUAAGCUUUGCUUCCAACCGUCUUCGGACAAGAUACGCCUUGAAAUUGACCUCAAAUCAGGCGGGACUACCCGCUGAACUUAA
This 278-nucleotide unclassified non-coding RNA is filed under the name Baltazaria octopodites. RNAcentral describes it as "partial contains 5.8S ribosomal RNA, internal transcribed spacer 2, and large subunit ribosomal RNA". Lineage: Eukaryota; Fungi; Basidiomycota; Agaricomycetes; Agaricales. The record is from RNAcentral.